AGAGAAGAAGAGAAAUGCCAAGAAGUUGGAGAAGGAAAGCUGCUGUCGAGGAUCAAAAGAUGCAAGGAGGUGACUGAGAUGUAAUCUUAGAGGAAAUCAACAGGCCCAAGAAACUUCAAAAGAACAAAAACCUGGAGUUGAGCAAGUGGAUCCUCAUCGGGUCCCCUGUCACACGUCGUCAGGAAGAGCUGUGCCUACGUGCCAGACUCAGUAGACCCCUCUCCCAUCACUUUCCUGGGGACUGGUGUCCCUUGUUUGGAAAUGACUGUAUCUGUUACUUUAUUUGUCUGUCAUUGGUAGCGAUGUCAGCCUCUAACUUAAUUUCAAUUCAGUUGUCACUUUGCUACUAGAGUUAGAAGAUGAAGGAAUAGGAAAUUAAGGCAUUCCAGUAAUUUAGAAAAGUGACAGCAAUACCUUCUUCCUGAAUGUGGUAAUACUUUAGAAGCUGGAUUGUUUUAUUUCUUUAUAUAUUAUUGUAAAUAAUAAAGUCAUUGA
Molecule: long non-coding RNA, 495 nt
Organism: Diceros bicornis minor
Lineage: Eukaryota; Metazoa; Chordata; Mammalia; Perissodactyla; Rhinocerotidae
Exons: 3
Source: RefSeq, a predicted model, not a curated record